Long non-coding RNA from Ictalurus punctatus (channel catfish), 732 nucleotides. Lineage: Eukaryota; Metazoa; Chordata; Actinopteri; Siluriformes; Ictaluridae. The record is from Ensembl.
UCUGACAUUUUGGACUCUGACAUUUUUCAGAGUACAGUCGAGUCUGUGACAUGUGUAACAUGAUAAAAAAAUGAAUAAGAACAUAAAAUUAAGAUAACAAGAAAUUAAUGAAUGUCUCCCUGCCUGAUCAGGGGGCUUUCUGUGUGCACACACUUGAAACAUGCGCACAGAAAGCCACUUCACCGUGCAAGGACCGAAUGGACUCAAUGGAUGAUCGCUUCCGCGUUUUGUCUCAACCAGCUCAGUUACAUCUGGUGUCAUGCCGGAAGCCGUUUUCGCUAUUGGCGAUAGCUGUGUGAAGAUGGCGCAGGAGAAAAUGACAUAUUACACUCGCUGUUUCUUCAGAUUAACUUGAAUGACGUCAAUCAUAUUGUGAGGCCAUCAGCUGUUACACCCAACAGUAAGGAGGAGAAGGGCUUCAAAUGAUAUAUUUUGAGCUACAACUUUGAGGCUAAAAUUUACUUCAUACAAUAAAUUAUCUACACUUGCAUCCACCUCCUCCAGUCCAUGACAAGCCUAUAUAACUGUGGAGGAGACACAUCAAAUAAGUAAAACCGGAGGACACAAUAUAGUGUUAUACAAUAAUAAAACAGGUUGAUUUGUAUUUUCAUACACUUGUAAUAUAAUAAAAAUGCUACAUAUAUCUCUAUAUCCCCUUUUUUUUAUUGAAACCCUUUUUUGAGAGGAAACUAGUUGAGGUGCUGAUGACAUGAAAUAAAAAUAUUAAAUGGC